CCUACGGGAGGCUGCAGUGAGGAAUAUUGGUCAAUGGCCGUAAGGCUGAACCAGCCAAGUAGCGUGAGGGAAGACUGCCCUAUGGGUUGUAAACCUCUUUUAUGCGGGGAUAAAGGUGUCCACGUGUGGAUGUUUGCAGGUACCGCAUGAAUAAGGACCGGCUAAUUCCGUGCCAGCAGCCGCGGUAAUACGGAAGGUCCGGGCGUUAUCCGGAUUUAUUGGGUUUAAAGGGAGCGUAGGCCGGUCUUUAAGCGUGCCGGGAAAUUUUGUGGCUCAACCAGGAGAGUGCGGCGCGAACUGGAGACCUUGAGUGCGCGGAAGGCAGGCGGAAUUCGUGGUGUAGCGGUGAAAUGCUUAGAUAUCACGAAGAACCCCGAUUGCGAAGGCAGCCUGCCGCAGCGUUACUGACGCUGAAGCUCGAAAGCGCGGGUAUCGAACAGGAUUAGAUACCCGUGUAGUC
This 460-nucleotide ribosomal RNA is filed under the name uncultured bacterium. Its description in RNAcentral is "partial 16S ribosomal RNA". It matches the Rfam family "Bacterial small subunit ribosomal RNA", at positions 338 to 795 of the family's 1533-position model. The record is from RNAcentral.